Ornithorhynchus anatinus (platypus) is the source of this 369-nucleotide long non-coding RNA. RefSeq lists it as uncharacterized. The record is from RefSeq and is a predicted model, not a curated record. The transcript is spliced from 3 exons. NCBI's taxonomy places the organism in Eukaryota, Metazoa, Chordata, Mammalia, Monotremata, Ornithorhynchidae.
CGCAUGGAGCGAGUGGAGUCUUGUGCCUUUUAUUAACCACUGAAACAAAAACUAAGUUGACAACAAAAAGAAGUCGACUGGGGACUUUAAACCCCAUUGCUCUCCACCUAGAGCUUUUCCUUGAAGUCCACAGGGGGCAUCAGGCGAUGAUAACCAAACUGUUCAGCAGUGACUCAGAAAACGAAGCCAGAAGCCUAGGCUAUUUUGAUGGUGAAAUCUGAAGUGGAAUCCUUCACUCAAUGCUAUUUAUCAAGCGCCUAUAAAGCACAAGACUGACAGUAAUUGCUUAUGAACAGUGGGAAUCAAGACAGAACAAGGAUCUAGCAGCUCAGCAAUGAGUAGCAAGACACCAGCCAGGCAGGAGCCAAG